This 492-nucleotide ribosomal RNA is filed under the name uncultured bacterium. Its description in RNAcentral is "partial 16S ribosomal RNA". It matches the Rfam family "Bacterial small subunit ribosomal RNA", at positions 30 to 507 of the family's 1533-position model. The record is from RNAcentral.
AUUGAACGCUGGCGGCAUGCUUUACACAUGCAAGUCGAACGGUAACAGGCCUUCGGGUGCUGACGAGUGGCGAACGGGUGAGUAAUGCAUCGGAACGUGCCCAGAGGUGGGGGAUAACGCAGCGAAAGCUGUGCUAAUACCGCAUGUGAUCUGAGGAUGAAAGCGGGGGACCAGGCAGCAAUGUUUGGCCUCGCGCCUUUGUAGCGGCCGAUGUCAGAUUAGGUAGUUGGUGGGGUAAAGGCCUACCAAGCCGUCGAUCUGUAGCUGGUCUGAGAGGACGACCAGCCACACUGGAACUGAGACACGGCCCAGACUCCUACGGGAGGCAGCAGUGGGGAAUUUUGGACAAUGGGCGCAAGCCUGAUCCAGCAAUGCCGCGUGCGGGAAGAAGGCCUUCGGGUUGUAAACCGCUUUUAUUAGGGAAGAAAAGGAUUUUGGUAAUACCUGGGGCUGAUGACGGUACCGUAAGAAUAAGCACCGGCUAACUACGUG